AUGGCCACAGGCUCAGAGCACAGAACAGUGCGGAGGGCUGUUUUCUGUAGUGUCACCAUCGUUGUCAACUGGUCUGUAAGAAGAAAAGCAGUACAGAACAGGCCUCAAGCCCCAACCGAGUCAGGUCAAAGCAGCUGGAAGCCUGUGUCAGCCUCUAGUCCACAAACCAUAGCAGCUCACUGGAGACGGGGCAUCAGAGAGACACCCUACUUCUUUUCCCUUCCUGGAAGCAAGAAUAUUUCAGCUAAACGGAUGGAUCAUUCAAGACUCAAAAGCACCCACAGGAUAAGCAGAUGUGCUCUUACAGAAAUGCACUCUCUGAGGUGAGGGAGGGGCCCUGUCUUGGGUCUCGCUAGGGCUGACUCCAGGAACACAAACUGGAGGGGUGGCCAUCACCCCACUGACCCUGAGGAAGCCCAUGACUGAUCCCAGGCCCACCUGGUGGGUAUCUCAGCUCCACCUUCCCUGCAGCCCUCACUGUUCUGUGGGGCCUGGAAAAACUGCAGGAGCCUCUGGUGAGAGGAAGAGGCUGGACCUCACGUGGCCCAUCCUCCUCGACAGCUCCAGAGUCAACCCAAGCCAGGUAGCAUUGUGCUCAAGGACAGAGUGGGGCCCCAAGGCCCUGUUCUGAGUCCCAGGAGCACCUCAGCACCAAAUUCGACCAAUCCAGCUUCUAGGCAGACAGGGGAGGAGGGCACUGAGGAAACUGAGUCAGAGGCAAGACCUGCAGACAAGAGGAGGCAGGAACAUUAACUCCCAACUAUAACACACAGAAAUUUAGAAACACAGCUGGGGUGAAACUCCAUCCUGAUGUCUCUAAGCCAGCUUAAAAACACAACCCACGGCCCCCAGGAUGGAGCAUAAAAAUGUGUCAGUACUCAUACUGUUCCCAGGGAACCUGGAACCUAUGUGGGGCCUAUGGCAAGAUAGGUUUGGUGUCUUAGGUAUGUGUGUAUGUGUGGAGGGCUGGGAGAAGGGCUCAAGAGAGGCUGCAGGCCCACCUCUCUACCCUUUACCUGGCGUCAUAGAGGGCAAGACAGGGGACACAGAGGGGUCACAGGCCAUGGCUCCCAGCAACUGAGCAUCUCAGGCCACUGGGGCUGCAGAAUCAGAGUACCCCAGACUGGGUGGCUUCUUAACAACAUAAAUGUGCCUCUCACAGCACCGGAGGGUGGACAUCCAAGAUCAAGGCACGGGUAGAUUCCAUGUCUGUCAGGGCCAGAACCAGGAAUAGAUGGCACCUUGUCCCUGAGUCUUUCACCCAGGAAAAAGGGAUGAGAAUGUGUUCUCAGGCCUCUUUUAUAAGGGAAAUAAUCCCUGUCAUUCAGUCUCCAUGCUCAGGAC
RNAcentral lists this long non-coding RNA (1344 nucleotides) under Chinchilla lanigera (long-tailed chinchilla). RNAcentral describes it as "lncRNA (ENSCLAG00000024956.1)". The record is from RNAcentral. Lineage: Eukaryota; Metazoa; Chordata; Mammalia; Rodentia; Chinchillidae.